RNAcentral lists this long non-coding RNA (852 nucleotides) under Androctonus crassicauda. The record is from RNAcentral. Lineage: Eukaryota; Metazoa; Arthropoda; Arachnida; Scorpiones; Buthidae.
CUUGAUGCUAGAGAAAAUAAUAGCAAGGAUUUAAAGAAGCUAAAAUUAGAUAUCAUGUGAUCUUUACCUAUCUCUAGAGUGUGACUAUAUAUUUUGUCCCAUUGCAGUAAUAAAUGUUUUCUCUGUGAGUCCAAAAAUUCUUUCACUACAAUGGAAUCUUUAAUAACCCUCUUGGGUUAUUAACCUCAAUAUAUAAAUAUAAGGGAGAAUACCCAAGAGAAUAUCAAAAGCAAAUAGUAGUAGUCCUUUUAGUACCUGUGAUGUUGACAGACUAUUUCAGUUUUCUCAAGCUCAGUGCUACAUGCCUUCAAAAGAACUUUCUGCCAAAUUAUAGCAGCAACGUGAUAAGAGUCUUACAACAUGGUAUUAUGUUCAAUAUAGUAAUCUUGGUUCCAUUUCCCACAUCUUACCCAACACAAGGCCUUCAAAACCUUCAUGACAACAACAAUUUGUAUGUGCCUUUGAAUACCAAGAUAUUUGACUUAAAUAAAUAACUGCAAUCUUUUGCCAAAGAAUGAUGCUAUAAAAAGCUUGUAGUAUUUAAAUGUAUUUUUAUAUGAAGACAGCAAUGGUAACUAUUAAUUUUAUCUUUUAUAAUUAAUACUCUCUCAGAUUAACAAUUAAUCCAACCCUGUCACACCAUUUAGAUUUUGAGAGCAGUCUGAAAUAUUUUUAAAUGCAGUUCUGGGAAACUUCUCCAUCACAAUGAUAUUAUGUCAUAAACAUAGACAAAAUUGAAGAAACUCUUUCCAUUGAGUGUAAUUAAAAGAUCAUUUAUUAUAAGGCACCACAGCAGAGGAGAGAGCAUUUCCUCAGUAAUCAAUUACUGACCACAAACAUCUGAAAUUCCUC